Molecule: RNA transcript, 1728 nt
Organism: Raphanus sativus (radish)
Lineage: Eukaryota; Viridiplantae; Streptophyta; Magnoliopsida; Brassicales; Brassicaceae
Gene name: spermidine coumaroyl-CoA acyltransferase-like
Exons: 2
Source: RefSeq, a predicted model, not a curated record
UAAACUUGGUAUAAGAUGUCAAACCAAACAACACGGAACCUUCCUCUAUUACUCGAAAUGAAACAAACUGAACUCGUCACCCCUCAAAGCACACUCCUCGUGAAGUCCUAUCCCUUUCUACUUUAGACAGCGAUGUUCUCAAUGAAGACAUGUACGCGACCAUUUAUGUUUACAAAGCUAAUGAACAUAAUAAAAACGAUCCUGUCGCUCUAAUUAGGAAAGCUUUGUCCGAGCUUCUUGUGUAUUAUUAUCCACUUUCAGGCAAGCUAGUGAGAGGAGAGAGUGGCCGAAAGCCUCAGCUAGUUUGCCAGGGCGAGGGUGUCCCAUUUACCGUCGCUACGGCAUCACUAGACCUCACUUCUCUAGACUAUUUGGAAAAACUUGACGAUGAAGUUGCUUUGCGUCUUGUGCCUGAGAUUGAAAUUGACUAUGAUACUGAUUUUUGUUAUCAUCCUCUAGCUUUGCAAGUGACCAAGUUUGCUUGCGGAGGGUUUACCAUUGGCACUGCAUUGACGCAUGUUGUGUGUGAUGGAUUUGGUGUGGCUCAGAUCAUCCAUGCUUUAACCGAGUUCGCUGCAGGAAAGAGUGAACCAUCGGUGGUGCCGGUGUGGCAGAGGGAGCGGCUUGUUGGGAAAAUUGAUAGUGAACCGGCCAAAGUACCCGGUGGCCAUAUUGCUAGUCUUCUGGCCACCUCACCGUACAUGCCAACUUCUGAUCUGGUAUGUUGUUCACCUCACUAGAUCAUAAAUCCCCAGCACUAAUUCUCUAUAAAGUUAGUUACCGCCUAACGAUUUUUUAAUAUUGUUAAAUCUAAUAGUAUUGUUGAUUUCAUAUGUUUUCUUUCUAGAAAUUAGUUAAUUUAUACCUAUUUUAUGUCAUUUAAUCUUAUCUUAUAUAUAUCCAACAGGUCACAGAGAUAAUAAUAUUCAGGCUGUGAACAUAAAGAGGCUUAAAGAUUCCUUGAUGAGAGAAUGCGAGUUCCCUGAAGAGUGUUUCACCACUUAUGAAGUACUUAGUUCUUGCAUAUGGAAAGCAAGAUCUCGAGCCCUUAAACUAAACCCGGACGGGAUCACUGUCCUUGCCGUAGCUGUUGGAAUCAGACAUGUUUUAGAUCCUCCCCUUCCUCAAGGAUACUACGGUAACGCCUACAUAGACGUGUAUGUCGAGUUAACCGUCAAAGAACUCAAAGAAUCAUCGAUCUCUGACAUUGCAAAGCGCGUCAAGAAAGCCAAGAAAACGCCUACGACAAAGGGUAUAUAGAGGAGGAGCUGAGCAACGGAGAGAGACUGAUGAGAGACGAUGCCAAGUUCGAAGGUGUGAGUGACGGUGUGUUUUUCUUGACGGACUGGAGGAAUAUUGGUUGGUUUGGAUCGAUGGAUUUUGGUUGGAAUGAGCCGGUGAAUCUGAGGCCGUUGACUCAGAGGGAGAGUGCAAUGCAUAUAGGAAUGAUCUUGAGACCUUCUAAGUUAGAUCCAUCGAUGGAAGGUGGAGUUAAAGUGGUCAUGACGUUACCAAGAGAUGCAAUGGUUAAGUUCAAGUCAAAUAUGGAUGCUAUGAACAAACUUUAGUUCCAUUGCAUAUGAACUUUCUUUACGUUAAAAGAAUAAAAGUGAUAUGCAAAAUAUGUAAUAAUGUUGACUACAUCUAUCAUUUUCACUGUGGAACCUGAAAUAUUUAUCAUUACAGGUUCUGACAUUGUUAUACAAUAUAUGAGAUUAUACUUUGUUU